GCGAAUACCGGAGAAUGUUAUCACGGGAGACACACGGCGGGUGCUAACGUCCGUCGUGAAGAGGGAAACAACCCAGACCGCCAGCUAAGGUCCCAAAGUCAUGGUUAAGUGGGAAACGAUGUGGGAAGGCCCAGACAGCCAGGAUGUUGGCUUAGAAGCAGCCAUCAUUUAAAGAAAGCGUAAUAGCUCACUGGUCGAGUCGGCCUGCGCGGAAGAUGUAACGGGGCUAAACCAUGCACCGAAGCUGCGGCAGCGACACUCAGGUGUUGUUGGGUAGGGGAGCGUUCUGUAAGCCUGCGAAGGUGGCCUGUGAGGGUUGCUGGAGGUAUCAGAAGUGCGAAUGCUGACAUAAGUAACGAUAAAGCGGGUGAAAAGCCCGCUCGCCGGAAGACCAAGGGUUCCUGUCCAACGUUAAUCGGGGCAGGGUGAGUCGACCCCUAAGGCGAGGCCGAAAGGCGUAGUCGAUGGGAAACGGGUUAAUAUUCCCGUACUUGGUGUUACUGCGAAGGGGGGACGGAGAAGGCUAUGUUGGCCGGGCGACGGUUGUCCCGGUUUAAGCGUGUAGGUGUGUGUUCCAGGUAAAUCCGGUUCACUUUAACACUGAGGCGUGAUGACGAGGCACUACGGUGCUGAAGCAACAAAUGCCCUGCUUCCAGGAAAAGCCUCUAAGCAUCAGGUAACAUCAAAUCGUACCCCAAACCGACACAGGUGGUCAGGUAGAGAAUACCAAGGCGCUUGAGAGAACUCGGGUGAAGGAACUAGGCAAAAUGGUGCCGUAACUUCGGGAGAAGGCACGCUGACACGUAGGUGAAGUGAUUUACUCAUGGAGCUGAAGUCAGUCGAAGAUACCAGCUGGCUGCAACUGUUUAUUAAAAACACAGCACUGUGCAAACACGAAAGUGGACGUAUACGGUGUGACGCCUGCCCGGUGCCGGAAGGUUAAUUGAUGGGGUCAGCGCAAGCGAAGCUCCUGAUCGAAGCCCCGGUAAACGGCGGCCGUAACUAUAACGGUCCUAAGGUAGCGAAAUUCCUUGUCGGGUAAGUUCCGACCUGCACGAAUGGCGUAAUGAUGGCCAGGCUGUCUCCACCCGAGACUCAGUGAAAUUGAACUCGCUGUGAAGAUGCAGUGUACCCGCGGCAAGACGGAAAGACCCCGUGAACCUUUACUAUAGCUUGACACUGAACAUUGAGCCUUGAUGUGUAGGAUAGGUGGGAGGCUUUGAAGUGUGGACGCCAGUCUGCAUGGAGCCGACCUUGAAAUACCACCCUUUAAUGUUUGAUGUUCUAACGUGGACCCGUAAUCCGGGUUGCGGACAGUGUCUGGUGGGUAGUUUGACUGGGGCGGUCUCCUCCUAAAGAGUAACGGAGGAGCACGAAGGUUGGCUAAUCCUGGUCGGACAUCAGGAGGUUAGUGCAAUGGCAUAAGCCAGCUUGACUGCGAGCGUGACGGCGCGAGCAGGUGCGAAAGCAGGUCAUAGUGAUCCGGUGGUUCUGAAUGGAAGGGCCAUCGCUCAACGGAUAAAAGGUACUCCGGGGAUAACAGGCUGAUACCGCCCAAGAGUUCAUAUCGACGGCGGUGUUUGGCACCUCGAUGUCGGCUCAUCACAUCCUGGGGCUGAAGUAGGUCCCAAGGGUAUGGCUGUUCGCCAUUUAAAGUGGUACGCGAGCUGGGUUUAGAACGUCGUGAGACAGUUCGGUCCCUAUCUGCCGUGGGCGCUGGAGAACUGAGGGGGGCUGCUCCUAGUACGAGAGGACCGGAGUGGACGCAUCACUGGUGUUCGGGUUGUCAUGCCAAUGGCACUGCCCGGUAGCUAAAUGCGGAAGAGAUAAGUGCUGAAAGCAUCUAAGCACGAAACUUGCCCCGA
This 1865-nucleotide ribosomal RNA is filed under the name Salmonella enterica subsp. enterica. RNAcentral's name for it is "partial 23S ribosomal RNA". It matches the Rfam family "Bacterial large subunit ribosomal RNA", at positions 956 to 2802 of the family's 2925-position model. The record is from RNAcentral. Lineage: Bacteria; Pseudomonadati; Pseudomonadota; Gammaproteobacteria; Enterobacterales; Enterobacteriaceae.